Molecule: ribosomal RNA, 253 nt
Filed under: uncultured bacterium
Lineage: Bacteria
Description: partial 16S ribosomal RNA
Rfam family: Bacterial small subunit ribosomal RNA
Source: RNAcentral
UACGUAGGGUGCGAGCGUUGUCCGGAGUUACUGGGCGUAAAGCGCGCGCAGGCGGCGGUGCUGGCCCGGCGUGAAAGCCCCCGGCUCAACCGGGGAGGGUCGUCGGGGACCGCACCGCUUGAGGGCGGUAGGGGCUGGUGGAAUGCCUGGUGUAGUGGUGAAAUGCGUAGAGAUCAGGCGGAACACCCGUGGCGAAGGCGGCCAGCUGGGCCGUCCCUGACGCUGAGGCGCGAAGGCGUGGGGAGCGAACGGG